GGAAGGAUCAUUAACACGUAUCAUACGUUAAAAACCCCGUGCACGUUGAAAAAAGAAAAAAGAAAAUCAGACCUUUGAUGAGGUUCUGUUGUGUUACGCACGUCUUGUUCUCUGCUCUGUUUGAGGGCGGAAGUUGGUGUCGCGGUUGUUGAGGCGCAAGUCUCAACCUUCCAGGAGAAAUCUUGGUCGCCCGGUAACGGCGCUGGCUUCUGUUCCUCCUAUUUUGUGGGGGAUGAGCGUGUGCGACCGGCAGAGUCUUGUUGGUGGACUGUUUCUUUUUUCUACGAGUAACGGUUGUGACUGAGCGUGUUGCUAAAGAGCCCCUCUGAAAACUGCAAAGGAUGCGGUCAACACUCUGAACGCCUCUAGGAACGUUGUUGUGGGUGAGGUGGCAUGCGUGGUCUGAUCGUGAAAGUUGUGGCUCCGACGUUCGAACCAGCUUUGGACUGUUUGGUCUUCGGUGGCGCAGCUUCGGCUCGCUCAACCACCUGUGAGGGCUGAAAAGUGCUUUGUGUUCUGCGAAGCGUGGAGGUCGUUUUUUUGCAUACAGCAAUCCCGCGGGGGCAGAGAGCCACAACUGGAGGUGGACGAGACGCGAGAGGAUUUUUUGUGUGUAAGAAGGCGGCAUUCCAUUUGAAGCUGGGGAGGUGAACCAGCCCAUUUAAUUGACUAAAUUAAACCGAACUAACUUGACAAAACUUGUCCGAAAGGACUCGAAACCCGAACAACUGUUAACAAUGGAUAUCUUGGUUCUCGCAACGAUGAAGAACGCAGCGAAAUGCGAUACGUAAUGCGAAUUGCAGAAUUCAGUGAAUCAUCGAAUCUUUGAACGCAAAUGGCGCCCUUGGGUUACCCCUAAGGGCACGCCUCGCUGACUAUCGGUUUAACCCACGUAUCCUACCCUUUUGGGUGGUGAUAAUCGUUGAGUGUUAGACAGUCCCUUAACUGAGGAGUGUCUAUCACUUAAAAAUCAGUCAUUCCACUCAUUGAAUGGCUCUUGCAAGUUGAAUUCGGCUCGCCGAAUGAAGAUUUACAAGAGUCAUCCGACAGUAAUUGGACUAGAGUGAGAGGGCGCGAAAUUGGCAGCUUGGUUGCGGACUGAACAUACGUGAGCGUAGAUGGCAAAAGUUUGACUCAGAUGCGGUCGAUGCGAAAAAUGGAUUGUCGAAAGACAAACUGUUUAUUGCUGUGGCUGUGUCGACGAGAAUUUUAAAGCCCGUCUAUGCGACGCGAGUUUGGAUCGGGACUUUGCAUAAGCCGGUAUUGAGCUGUCUUUCUCCGGACUAGUUUCGGUUGGCCUUGAGGUCUAGGUUUGCUGGAAAAACAAACGAGAGGGAGGAGCUGAAGAACGAAGGCUUCGGUUGGAGUUUAUCGCUCUUCCCUUUCAAACUUUCUAAAUUAGAUGUCAGCUGAGGUGGGAAAACCCCCUGAAUUUAAGCAUAUUAUUAAGGGGAGGAAAAGAAACUAACAAGGAUUCCCCUAGUAACGGCGAGUGAAGCGGGAAGAGCUCAAGCCUGAAAUCCCUGGGUGUAACAACCUCGGGAGUUGUGGCCUAUAGACGUUCUCUCAGUGCUGUACCGGUUAUAAAUCCUUUGGAACAGGGUAUCAUAGAGGGUGAGAAUCCCGUCUUUGAGCCGGAUACAAGUGCGUACGAGGAGCGUUCUGAGAGUCGCGUUGCUUGGGAGUGCAACGCAAAUUGGGUGGUAAAGUUCAUCUAAAGCUAAAUACUGGCGAGAGACCGAUAGCGAACAAGUACCGUGAGGGAAAGAUGAAAAGAACUUUGAAAAGAGAGUUAAAAAGUACUUGAAAUUGUUAACAGGUAAGGGCAGGAAACCAGUAUAUUCUCAGGCACAUUUGCGGUCGCCUUACGGUUGCUGUUACUUGUGUUUGGGAGAGUCAUCGUCACUUAGAAUCUUUGGAGAAAGCGUAUAGAUUGGUGCCUUCCUUCGGGUUGGUUUAGUCCGUACGUCCUACAUUGGCUCUGAGUGAGGACGAGAACCCGCACGCUUCGGCGUACGGCGCUCUGUUGUCUGUCUGCCCAAGCGCGUGAGAGAGCAAAGCUCUGUCUGUGCAAAAGGUGAACACUACGGCGGAUGCGCUAGUUGCUGGGUUCGCGACGAUGACGAAAUGGUUUUCUUCCACCCGUCUUGAAACACGGACCAAGGAGUCUAACAUAUAUGCGAGUAUUUGGGUGAAAAACCCUGAUGCGCAAUGAAAGUAAAGGGGGGCAACCUCUGAGGUGGGAAUCGAUCCUUCGGGAGAGAGGCACCAUCGACCGAUCGUUCGCUUGCGAAAGAUUUGAGUAAUAGCAUAUCUGUUGGGACCCGAAAGAUGGUGAUCUAUGCCUGAACAGGGUGAAGCCAGGGGAAACUCUGGUGGAAGCUCGUAGCGAUACUGACGUGCAAAUCGUUCGUCUGAUUUGGGUAUAGGGGCGAAAGACUAAUCGAACCAUCUAGUAGCUGGUUCCCUC
RNAcentral lists this unclassified non-coding RNA (2470 nucleotides) under uncultured fungus. RNAcentral describes it as "sequence contains 18S rRNA gene, ITS1, 5.8S rRNA gene, ITS2, 28S rRNA gene". The stretch from base 1401 to 2470 matches the Rfam family "Eukaryotic large subunit ribosomal RNA", at positions 1 to 961 of the family's 3401-position model. Lineage: Eukaryota; Fungi. The record is from RNAcentral.